Molecule: transfer RNA, 71 nt
Filed under: Eremiaphila sp.
Lineage: Eukaryota; Metazoa; Arthropoda; Insecta; Mantodea; Eremiaphilidae
Description: tRNA-His
Source: RNAcentral
AUCUAAAUAGUUUAAUAUUUAAAAAUUAUGAUUUGUGGGGUCAUAGAUAUAACAAUUAGUUAUUUUAGAUA